This 1051-nucleotide long non-coding RNA is filed under the name Zonotrichia albicollis (white-throated sparrow). Its description in RNAcentral is "lncRNA (ENSZALG00000001753.1)". Lineage: Eukaryota; Metazoa; Chordata; Aves; Passeriformes; Passerellidae. The record is from RNAcentral.
CCACUGCUGGAGCCCCCAGAGCCACUGUCUGCAGAGCUGGAGCCCCCUGACCUGGUAUCCCCAAACACGUGCCCCUGGAUGUCCUGGUGUCCCCAUUUCUGGAGCCCCUGGAUGUCCCGGUGUCCCCAUUGCUGGAGCCCCUGGAUGUCCCGGUGUCCCCAUUUCUGGAGCCCCUGGAUGUCCCGGUGUCCCCAGAGCCCCCAGACCCAGGGUCCCCAUUUCUGGAGCCUCUGGAUGUCCUGGUGUCCCCAGAGCCCCCAGACCCGGUGUCCCCAGAGCCGGUGUCCCCACUGCUGGAGCCCCCAGAGCCACUGUCCCCAGAGCUGGAGCCCCCAGACCCAGUGUCCCCAGAGCUGGAGCCCCUGGAUGUCCCGGUGUCCCCAAAUCCCUGGAGCCCCUGGAUGUCCCAGUGUCCCCAGAGCCCUGACCCACCUUUGCUGCCGGUGAUGACGGGCACGUUGCGGGGCCGCGAGCGGCAGUCGAAGAUGAUGGGUUUCUGCACCCAGGGGAUCAGGAAAUGGGUGCCCUCGCCCACCACCACGUCCUGCACCCCCCGGAAGCGGUCGAAGAUCACAGCUCUGUGCCCUGCGUCCACUGUGGGGGGGAAAGAAACAGCACUCAGGGCUGCUGUGCUGCUGCCACGGGGGUUGGGGACUUAAUUAACAGCACGGCUUAAUUAACAACACGGUUUGGACAACAAACUGCAGGUGCCCUCCAGUCUGCUCCUCACAAGCAGCUCCGUGGCUUUUAGACGGAGAACACCACAGUCUGUUUGUACUGGGCAGUAAAAGCACUGGGAGGUCAGGGUUUGGACAGAAGCACAAAACGAAGCGCUCAGGGCUGUCCCACUCACCGUUGUAAAGAGCGGAGUUGACGACUCCCCCCGCCACAGCCAAGCCCAGGCCGAGCUUCCCAAUGCUCUCGAACACCUUGGCAGCCAUCUCAGCGCUGCAGCCCCCGCUCCGGAGCCCUCCUGCAAACCCAGACAACGCUCAAACCUCACCGGAAAGGCUGCGACCCCUGCCCAGAGCCCCAGGCCACAAAACCGCAC